This 325-nucleotide ribosomal RNA is filed under the name Nitrosospira sp. RNAcentral's name for it is "bacterial SSU rRNA". It matches the Rfam family "Bacterial small subunit ribosomal RNA", at positions 170 to 490 of the family's 1533-position model. Lineage: Bacteria; Pseudomonadati; Pseudomonadota; Betaproteobacteria; Nitrosomonadales; Nitrosomonadaceae. The record is from RNAcentral.
CGCAUAAUCUCUACGGAGAAAAGCAGGGGAUCGCAAGACCUUGCGCUUUUGGAGCGGCCGAUGUCUGAUUAGCUAGUUGGUGAGGUAAAGGCUUACCAAGGCUUCGAUCAGUAGCUGGUCUGAGAGGACGACCAGCCACACUGGGACUGAGACACGGCCCAGACUCCUACGGGAGGCAGCAGUGGGGAAUUUUGGACAAUGGGGGAAACCCUGAUCCAGCCAUGCCGCGUGAGUGAAGAAGGCCUUCGGGUUGUAAAGCUCUUUCAGCCGGAACGAAACGGUCAUGGCUAAUACCUGUGACUACUGACGGUACCGGAAGAAGAAG